GCCACCCUAGCUCAGUUGGUAGAGCAACGCACUCGUAACGCGUAGGUCGCGGGUUCAAGUCCCGCGGGUGGCUCCA
RNAcentral lists this transfer RNA (76 nucleotides) under bacterium. RNAcentral's name for it is "tRNA-Thr". It matches the Rfam family "tRNA". Rfam says of the family: Transfer RNA (tRNA) molecules are approximately 80 nucleotides in length. Their secondary structure includes four short double-helical elements and three loops (D, anti-codon, and T loops). Further hydrogen bonds mediate the characteristic L-shaped molecular structure. tRNAs have two regions of fundamental functional importance: the anti-codon, which is responsible for specific mRNA codon recognition, and the 3' end, to which the tRNAs corresponding amino acid is attached (by aminoacyl-tRNA synthetases). tRNAs cope with the degeneracy of the genetic code in two manners: having more than one tRNA (with a specific anti-codon) for a particular amino acid; and 'wobble' base-pairing, i.e. permitting non-standard base-pairing at the 3rd anti-codon position. RNAcentral also lists the same sequence under 1 other name. The record is from RNAcentral.